RNAcentral lists this ribosomal RNA (497 nucleotides) under uncultured bacterium. RNAcentral's name for it is "partial 16S ribosomal RNA". It matches the Rfam family "Bacterial small subunit ribosomal RNA", at positions 28 to 507 of the family's 1533-position model. The record is from RNAcentral.
GAUGAACGCUGGCGGCGUGCCUAAUACAUGCAAGUCGAGCGAACGGACGAGAAGCUUGCUUCUCUGAUGUUAGCGGCGGACGGGUGAGUAACACGUGGAUAACCUACCUAUAAGACUGGGAUAACUUCGGGAGACCGGAGCUAAUACCGGAUAAUAUUUUGAACCGCACGGUUCAAAAGUGAAAGACGGUCUUGCUGUCACUUAUAGAUGGAUCCGCGCUGCAUUAGCUAGUUGGUAAGGUAACGGCUUACCAAGGCAACGAUGCAUAGCCGACCUGAGAGGGUGAUCGGCCACCCGGGAACUGAGACACGGUCCAGACUCCUACGGGAGGCAGCAGUAGGGAAUCUUCCGCAAUGGGGGAAAGCCUGACGGAGCAACGCCGCGUGAGUGAUGAAGGUCUUCGGAUCGUAAAACUCUGUUAUUAGGGAAGAACAUAUGUGUAAGUAAAUGUGCACAUCUUGACGGUACCUAAUCAGAAAGCCACGGCUAACUACGUG